RNAcentral lists this ribosomal RNA (564 nucleotides) under uncultured bacterium. RNAcentral's name for it is "bacterial SSU rRNA". It matches the Rfam family "Bacterial small subunit ribosomal RNA", at positions 338 to 916 of the family's 1533-position model. The record is from RNAcentral.
CCUACGGGAGGCAGCAGUGGGGAAUUUUCCGCAAUGGGCGAAAGCCUGACGGAGCAACGCCGCGUGAGGGAUGAAGGCCUCUGGGCUGUAAACCUCUUUUAUCAAGGAAGAAGAUCUGACGGUACUUGAUGAAUAAGCCACGGCUAAUUCCGUGCCAGCAGCCGCGGUAAUACGGGAGUGGCAAGCGUUAUCCGGAAUUAUUGGGCGUAAAGCGUCCGCAGGCGGUCUUGUAAGUCUGUCGUUAAAGCGUGGAGCUUAACUCCAUUUCGGCGGUGGAAACUACAAGACUAGAGUGUGGUAGGGGCAGAGGGAAUUCCCGGUGUAGCGGUGAAAUGCGUAGAUAUCGGGAAGAACACCAGUGGCGAAGGCGCUCUGCUGGGCCAUAACUGACGCUCAUGGACGAAAGCUAGGGGAGCGAAAGGGAUUAGAUACCCCUGUAGUCCUAGCCGUAAACGAUGAACACUAGGUGUCGGGGGAAUCGACCCCCUCGGUGUCGUAGCUAACGCGUUAAGUGUUCCGCCUGGGGAGUACGCACGCAAGUGUGAAACUUAAAUGAAUUGACGG